CAGUUGAACUGUACAUUUUUAGAUGCAACCUCCAAAAACCCAACUUUGCAAAGAUAUGGCAUCGUCAGAAGAAAUGGGGUGCAAUCUAAUGUUGACAGUGUGGAUGAGAGUGGGACACCUGCCAGUUGUUUGCAUCAGCAGACACUCAGAGUCCAUGGAAAAAAUGAGCCUAGAGGUUUUUAAACCACAACACAAGCAAAAGGCACCUGGUCCCGUUCCUCUUAAGACAGAAGAAAGAGGCGUAAAACCAGCUCCAGGUGCCACCCUUAAGAAAUGUUACAGUGCCGGAUGGGAAGAGUAAACCCUGAACAUCUCUUCUUAAUACUUUACAGACUUCAAGUGUAUUUUAUGGUGACAAAGCAUAUUGAAG
This 370-nucleotide long non-coding RNA is filed under the name Homo sapiens (human). RNAcentral describes it as "non-protein coding lnc-UMODL1-4:3". Lineage: Eukaryota; Metazoa; Chordata; Mammalia; Primates; Hominidae. The record is from RNAcentral.